This 2925-nucleotide ribosomal RNA is filed under the name Enterobacter roggenkampii. Its description in RNAcentral is "23S ribosomal RNA". It matches the Rfam family "Bacterial large subunit ribosomal RNA". The record is from RNAcentral. Lineage: Bacteria; Pseudomonadati; Pseudomonadota; Gammaproteobacteria; Enterobacterales; Enterobacteriaceae.
GGGUUGUGAGGUUAAGCGACUAAGCGUACACGGUGGAUGCCCUGGCAGUCAGAGGCGAUGAAGGACGUGCUAAUCUGCGAAAAGCGCCGGCGAGGUGAUAUGAACCUUUGACCCGGCGAUGUCCGAAUGGGGAAACCCAGUGUGAUUCGUCACACUAUCGUUAACUGAAUACAUAGGUUAACGAGGCGAACCGGGGGAACUGAAACAUCUAAGUACCCCGAGGAAAAGAAAUCAACCGAGAUUCCCCCAGUAGCGGCGAGCGAACGGGGAGCAGCCCAGAGUCUGAAUCAGCUUGUGUGUUAGUGGAAGCGUCUGGAAAGUCGCACGGUACAGGGUGACAGUCCCGUACACGAAAAUGCACAGGUUGUGAACUCGAAGAGUAGGGCGGGACACGUGGUAUCCUGUCUGAAUAUGGGGGGACCAUCCUCCAAGGCUAAAUACUCCUGACUGACCGAUAGUGAACCAGUACCGUGAGGGAAAGGCGAAAAGAACCCCGGCGAGGGGAGUGAAAAAGAACCUGAAACCGUGUACGUACAAGCAGUGGGAGCACCUUCGGGUGUGACUGCGUACCUUUUGUAUAAUGGGUCAGCGACUUAUAUUCUGUAGCAAGGUUAACCGUAUAGGGGAGCCGAAGGGAAACCGAGUCUUAACUGGGCGUUAAGUUGCAGGGUAUAGACCCGAAACCCGGUGAUCUAGCCAUGGGCAGGUUGAAGGUUGGGUAACACUAACUGGAGGACCGAACCGACUAAUGUUGAAAAAUUAGCGGAUGACUUGUGGCUGGGGGUGAAAGGCCAAUCAAACCGGGAGAUAGCUGGUUCUCCCCGAAAGCUAUUUAGGUAGCGCCUCGUGAACUCAUCUUCGGGGGUAGAGCACUGUUUCGGCUAGGGGGCCAUCCCGGCUUACCAACCCGAUGCAAACUACGAAUACCGAAGAAUGUUAUCACGGGAGACACACGGCGGGUGCUAACGUCCGUCGUGAAGAGGGAAACAACCCAGACCGCCAGCUAAGGUCCCAAAGUCAUGGUUAAGUGGGAAACGAUGUGGGAAGGCACAGACAGCCAGGAUGUUGGCUUAGAAGCAGCCAUCAUUUAAAGAAAGCGUAAUAGCUCACUGGUCGAGUCGGCCUGCGCGGAAGAUGUAACGGGGCUAAACCAUGCACCGAAGCUGCGGCAGCGACACUAUGUGUUGUUGGGUAGGGGAGCGUUCUGUAAGCCGUUGAAGGUGUGCUGUGAGGCAUGCUGGAGGUAUCAGAAGUGCGAAUGCUGACAUAAGUAACGAUAAAGCGGGUGAAAAGCCCGCUCGCCGGAAGACCAAGGGUUCCUGUCCAACGUUAAUCGGGGCAGGGUGAGUCGACCCCUAAGGCGAGGCCGAAAGGCGUAGUCGAUGGGAAACAGGUUAAUAUUCCUGUACUUGGUGUUACUGCGAAGGGGGGACGGAGAAGGCUAUGUUAGCCGGGCGACGGUUGUCCCGGUUUAAGCAUGUAGGCGGAACGAUUAGGUAAAUCCGGUCGUUUAUUAACGCUGAGGUGUGAUGACGAGGCACUACGGUGCUGAAGUAACAAAUGCCCUGCUUCCAGGAAAAGCCUCUAAGCAUCAGGUAACAUUAAAUCGUACCCCAAACCGACACAGGUGGUCAGGUAGAGAAUACCAAGGCGCUUGAGAGAACUCGGGUGAAGGAACUAGGCAAAAUGGUGCCGUAACUUCGGGAGAAGGCACGCUGAUAUGUAGGUGAAGCCCCUGCGGGUGGAGCUGAAAUCAGUCGAAGAUACCAGCUGGCUGCAACUGUUUAUUAAAAACACAGCACUGUGCAAACACGAAAGUGGACGUAUACGGUGUGACGCCUGCCCGGUGCCGGAAGGUUAAUUGAUGGGGUUAGCGGCAACGCGAAGCUCUUGAUCGAAGCCCCGGUAAACGGCGGCCGUAACUAUAACGGUCCUAAGGUAGCGAAAUUCCUUGUCGGGUAAGUUCCGACCUGCACGAAUGGCGUAAUGAUGGCCAGGCUGUCUCCACCCGAGACUCAGUGAAAUUGAACUCGCUGUGAAGAUGCAGUGUACCCGCGGCAAGACGGAAAGACCCCGUGAACCUUUACUAUAGCUUGACACUGAACACUGGUCCUUGAUGUGUAGGAUAGGUGGGAGGCUUUGAAGUGUGGACGCCAGUCUGCAUGGAGCCGUCCUUGAAAUACCACCCUUUAAUGGCUGGUGUUCUAACGUAGACCCGUAAUCCGGGUUGCGGACAGUGUCUGGUGGGUAGUUUGACUGGGGCGGUCUCCUCCCAAAGAGUAACGGAGGAGCACGAAGGUUAGCUAAUCCUGGUCGGACAUCAGGAGGUUAGUGCAAUGGCAUAAGCUAGCUUGACUGCGAGAGUGACGGCUCGAGCAGGUGCGAAAGCAGGUCAUAGUGAUCCGGUGGUUCUGAAUGGAAGGGCCAUCGCUCAACGGAUAAAAGGUACUCCGGGGAUAACAGGCUGAUACCGCCCAAGAGUUCAUAUCGACGGCGGUGUUUGGCACCUCGAUGUCGGCUCAUCACAUCCUGGGGCUGAAGUAGGUCCCAAGGGUAUGGCUGUUCGCCAUUUAAAGUGGUACGCGAGCUGGGUUUAGAACGUCGUGAGACAGUUCGGUCCCUAUCUGCCGUGGGCGCUGGAGAAUUGAGGGGGGCUGCUCCUAGUACGAGAGGACCGGAGUGGACGCAUCACUGGUGUUCGGGUUGUCAUGCCAAUGGCACUGCCCGGUAGCUAAAUGCGGAAAAGAUAAGUGCUGAAAGCAUCUAAGCACGAAACUUGCCCCGAGAUGAGUUCUCCCUGAGACUUUAAGUCUCCUGAAGGAACGUUGAAGACGACGACGUUGAUAGGUCGGGUGUGUAAGCGCAGCGAUGCGUUGAGCUAACCGAUACUAAUGAACCGUGAGGCUUAACCUUACAACGCCGAAG